Molecule: long non-coding RNA, 2332 nt
Organism: Homo sapiens (human)
Lineage: Eukaryota; Metazoa; Chordata; Mammalia; Primates; Hominidae
Source: Ensembl
AAGUUACAGAGACAACAUGCUGAGAGAGCAGAGGAGACCCUCCAGGCAAGGGCAGACUCCUUGCAGGGGCAGGCUGGGGGCCCCCGCUGCCUGCUGGGUCAGGCUGGUGAAUCUGGUCAUGGUUCCGCCCCCCAGAUUCACUCCCUAGGUGUGUUUGUUUACUGGUUCCUCACUGUCUUGCUCAAAUGCUCCAACUCUACAAAUCCCGGGAUCUCGGGGUGCAGAUCACCUCUCCCAGAUUCCUGAGCCUGUGUCUGGCCAUGGGCACCUCCAGCAUCUUCCUCUGCGUGCUGUUCCUCUGUGGGGCACUGGGUCUCACCAUGUCCCCUGCCCGGGGAAGGCUCCGCUGCUACAUCUGUGGCUUCACCAAACCCUGCCACCCUGUUCCCACCGAGUGUCGGGACGAUGAAGCUUGUGGCAUCAGUAUUGGCACUUCAGAUGCCCAUUGCUGAUGCCCCGUGUCAGCCCAGGUCACUGGCAAGGCAGGCAUUUUGAUGACACUGUGGAUCUCAGGCAAGGGGAUCAAAGGAGCAUCAGGAUACGUACUAUCAGCCCCGUGCCCUGGAGAAACAUGCUGACAGCAUCCUGGCACUGGCUUCAGUAUUCUGGUCCAUCUCUUAUUACUCCUCUCCCUUCGCCUUCUUCUACUUGUACAGGAAAGGUUACUUGAGUUUGUCCAAAGUGGUGCCGUUUUCUCACUAUGCUGGGACAUUGCUGCUACUUCUGGCAGGUGUGGCCUGCCUCCGAGGCAUUGGCCGCUGGACCAACCCCCAGUACCGGCAGUUCAUCACCAUCUUGGAAGCAACACAUCGGAACCAGUCUUCAGAAAACAAGAGGCAGCUUGCCAACUACAACUUUGACUUCCGGAGCUGGCCAGUCGACUUCCACUGGGAAGAACCCAGCAGCCGGAAGGAGUCUCGAGGGGGCCCUUCCCGCCGGGGUGUGGCCCUGCUUCGCCCAGAGCCCCUGCACCGGGGGACAGCAGACACCCUCCUCAACCGGGUUAAGAAGCUGCCUUGUCAGAUCACCAGCUACCUGGUGGCGCACACCCUAGGGCGCCGGAUGCUGUAUCCAGGCUCUGUGUACCUGCUGCAGAAGGCCCUCAUGCCUGUGCUGCUGCAGGGCCAGGCCCGACUGGUGGAAGAGUGUAAUGGGCGCCGGGCAAAGCUGCUGGCCUGUGAUGGCAAUGAGAUUGACACCAUGUUUGUGGACCGGCGGGGGACAGCUGAGCCCCAGGGACAGAAGCUGGUGAUCUGCUGUGAGGGGAAUGCUGGGUUUUAUGAGGUGGGCUGCGUCUCCACGCCCCUGGAAGCUGGAUAUUCAGUCCUGGGCUGGAAUCAUCCAGGCUUUGCUGGAAGCACGGGGGUGCCAUUCCCGCAGAAUGAGGCUAAUGCCAUGGAUGUGGUGGUCCAGUUUGCCAUCCACCGCCUAGGCUUCCAGCCCCAGGACAUCAUCAUCUACGCCUGGUCCAUCGGCGGCUUCACUGCCACGUGGGCAGCCAUGUCCUACCCAGAUGUUAGUGCCAUGAUCCUGGAUGCCUCCUUUGAUGACCUGGUGCCCUUGGCCUUGAAGGUCAUGCCAGACAGCUGGAGGGGCCUGGUGACCAGGACCGUGAGGCAGCAUCUCAAUCUAAACAACGCGGAGCAGCUGUGCAGAUACCAGGGUCCUGUACUGCUGAUCCGGAGAACCAAGGAUGAGAUCAUCACCACCACGGUUCCUGAGGACAUCAUGUCCAACCGAGGCAAUGACCUCCUGCUGAAGCUCCUGCAGCAUCGGUAUCCCCGGGUGAUGGCAGAGGAGGGUCUUCGAGUGGUGAGGCAGUGGUUGGAGGCCUCCUCACAGCUGGAGGAAGCCUCAAUUUAUAGCCGAUGGGAGGUGGAAGAGGACUGGUGUCUGUCUGUCCUCCGCUCCUACCAGGCAGAACACGGGCCCGACUUCCCCUGGAGCGUGGGGGAGGACAUGAGUGCAGAUGGACGGCGGCAGCUGGCUUUGUUUCUGGCUCGGAAGCAUCUGCACAACUUUGAGGCCACUCACUGCACCCCACUCCCAGCCCAGAACUUCCAGAUGCCCUGGCACCUCUAGGGACCAACUGGGACUCAUUAUGGAAGAAUGGGGUGAGAGGAGACAUGAGGAAAGACCCUCUUAUUUGUGAUUCUCUGUGUUCAUGUUGCUGUUUAUAGUUUGUGGAAAGUGGGGGACCAUCCCCCUUCUCACCACUGUUCCUCUUGCACGUUUCCCCUCAUUCAUGUGGCUGUACUUAACCUUCUCCAACAUACAUCCUGCAUUACAUGAAUGGAUUAUUCCUAAUAAUUAAUAAAAAGGUAUUUUUUCU